GUGUCAGCCGCCGCGGUAAUACGCAGGUGGCAAGCGUUAUCCGGAAUUAUUGGGCGUAAAGCGCGCGCAGGUGGUUUCUUAAGUCUGAUGUGAAAGCCCACGGCUCAACCGUGGAGGGUCAUUGGAAACUGGGAGACUUGAGUGCAGAAGAGGAAAGUGGAAUUCCAUGUGUAGGGGUGAAAUGCGUAGAGAUAUGGAAGAACACCAGUGGCGAAGGCGACAUUCUGGUCUGUUACUGACACUGAGGCUCGAAAGCGUGGGGAGCAAACAGGAUUAGAUACCCCCGUAGUCC
Molecule: ribosomal RNA, 292 nt
Filed under: uncultured prokaryote
Description: partial 16S ribosomal RNA
Rfam family: Bacterial small subunit ribosomal RNA
Source: RNAcentral